UACAUGCGUAAGUAAUAAUUAUGUUUUUAUAUUAUAUUAUAUUAUUAUAUUAUUAUAUAUAUAUGACAAAGAAAGAAAGAAAAGAAACAGAGAGCAAAACAAAACAGAGAAGGGAGAAAGAAAGAAACAGAGAGCAAAACGAAACAGAGAAGGAAGGAAGGAAAGAAAGAAAGAAAGAAAAGAAAAGAAAAAGGAAAAUUUGGGGUUUUAAGGUUCAAAGUAAUUUGGUAAGUCAAUUUAAUCCCAUUUUCUCUUAAUUUUGAUAUUUUUUUUGAAAUCCUAGAACAAAAUACUACUUGAUUAAGUUGAAAUUUUGGAAGUUAGUAGAUUAUUAAGCAUGGUUCAUGUUGAAUAAAUUGUUAAAUUAGGGAUGUAUUUGAUAGAAAUUUUGAUUGGAAUUGAAUAAAGGAUUGAAUUGUAAACUAAACUAUAAGUUUUGAAUUUUAGGGAUUAAUUUGAAAUAAAUUCGGAAUUAUGAAAACAUGAUAAAAAUUAAAUAGUUAAAUAUGAGUUUAGCAAGAAAUUGGGUAGAAUAAGGGUAUGAAUUGAGAAAGAAAAAUAUAUAGGUUUAGUUAGGGGUUAAAUUGAUUUAAUUUCAAGUUAGAAGUUAGUAAAGAACGUAAUUGUAAAAUAAAAUAUAAGUUUUGAAUCGAUAGGGAUUAAAUUGAAAGAAUCCCGAAAUUAGGGAUUUAUGGUGAAAUUGAGGAAUUAAAUUGACUUUAUAGUAAGAAUUAAGAGAGAAUAUAGAGUUAGAAUGCAAAAAUAAAAUUAGUAUUGAUAAGGGAUUAAAUUAGAAUUUGAUGUUGCCAUAGAAGGGAAAAAUGUUCAGAAUGUUAUAAAACAUAAGAAUAAGAGAUGAAGUUUAAUUUCCGAGCCUUGGGGCAAAAAUGUAAUUAUGUAAAAGUUUAGGGGCAAAAUUGUAAUUUUGAAAAAGUUAGAGUCGAGGACUAUUUUGAUGAAUGUGAUUAUUAAAUAAGUUAAAUUUACUAUUUUAGAUCAAGAAGUACGAAACUCAAGGUUAGACAAAGGGAAGAAUAAAGUUGAAGACUAAGUUGGUGAAUUUGGCUAUAAUUGGUACCGAGGUAAGUUUACGGUAAAUAAAUGCAAUAUUUCAAUAUUUAUUAUUAAUGCUGUUAAUUUCCAGCAAUUAUGAAUUUAUUUGAUGAUGAUCCAAGCAUGAAAUGAUAGAGAAUUAAAAUUUAAAAGUCCCGUUGAUACAUAAGGAUGGUACUGGAUACGAAUGUCAUGACAUUUGGGUAAAGAUAUCCCAUGUAAGAUCAUGUCUGGGACAUGGCAUUGGCAUCCUUAAGAUCAUGAGAGGUCCCCUGUAAGACCAUGUCUGGGACAUGGCAUGGGCACCGAGACGAGAGGUCCCAUGUAAGACCAUGUCUGGGACAUGGCGUUGGCACCGAGAUGAGAGGUCCCCUAUAAGACCAUGUCUGGGACAUGGCAUGGGCACCAUCACGAGAACAUCCCAUGUAAGACCAUGUCUGGGACAUGGCUUUGGCAUGUUAUUAUCAGAAGAGACCCGAGUAUCCUUAUUAUUCCAAUGUAGUUCAACGGGCUUGUAAACGAAUCAUGUUCAUGAAAGUUCAGUUUAAAGCAUAAAUGGCAAGCUCAGGUAAGUUGUAAGACUUAAGAACUUAUUAUACUAUCAAUUGAUGUUCAACGAUGCAGCAAGGAUUGAGUAAGUUAUGCACACAAAUAUUCUAAGUAAACAAGUAAGAGAACUAGUAUGAGAUUAACUAAAGAGUAAACUAGAGAUAUAGACAUUGAGUUUAAUUAUUUAAGUUAAAUAUUGUUAUUUAUUUGCUAGUAAACUUACUAAGCUUUAUGCUUACUUCUUUUAUUUCUUUCUCUUAUAGUAUUGCAAAGCUACUUCAAGGAUCCUAAAGAAGUCGGAGAUCGUCCACACUAUCAACUACAACUGCUCGGUAUUUUAUAUCGAAACACGUUUAAGUUAUGGCAUGUAUAGGAAUUUAGUUAUUUUGUAUGUUUGUAGUGAUGAUUUUGCUAAUGAGUGAUGUGUAAGUAUUUGAUGAUGUAUGGUUAUUAAAAUGAUUAAGGAUGAAGGUGUUUGUUGUUAUGAAAUAUUAGGUGAUAAAUUAUGCAUGGAAAUCAUGAAAGGAUAAAAUUUUGCAAAGAAACAGAAUUCAGGCAGCACAGUGACGUGAAUUUGAAAAAUCACCCAAGAUAGUAUAAAAUGAAUUAGAGGGUGAAUGAUAUAUGGAAUUAAAGCUUGUUGAGUCUAUUUUCAUGGAAAAAUAACGGUGUAGAAAAAAAGAAAUUUAUAUUUUAAGAUAUGUGAAUUUUAGUAAGAUAGGAUCAGAACUGUUUUUGGAGUCCCCUGUUCUGAGUUUAGAAAAUAAUAAAAAAUUGUACAAAAAUGGUUAUGAGUUGAAAUUUACAUGCUUAGAUUCCUUAAUUAGUCUAUUUUCUAUAGAAACAAGUAAGAACUUCAUAUGAAAAUCCUAUAGUGAGAAAACUUAUUUUUAGUGACUAGAGGUCAGGGCAGUCUGGUGGUGACACAGGGGAGACUUUAACUAAUAAACUGUACUAAUUUGCUGAACCAAAAAUUCUAAAAAUUUUAUGGUGAGUAGAUAUAUGAGUCUAGUUUCAGGGAAAAUUUACGGGAUUAAAUUUCGAGUUCUGUAGCUCAAGUUAUAAUUAAUUUAGUAACUGCUGCGCGAUUAGACAGAUUUGCUGCGAAUAAUGAAAUAAAUUUUCAAACCUAGUUUUUAUGCUCCGAAUUGGUAAGAUAAGCUAAGUAAUGCCUCGUGCUCGACUCCGGAAACGGUCUCGGGUAAGGGGUGUUACACAUGCGCAUAUGUAAUUAUCGCAUGUGCGAAUGUAUGAAUUGAAUACACAACUUAUAUUAAUGAUGUGUACAGAUUGGAACGCAUGCACAAUGUAUGAAUAUCUGAACUUCUACCCGUCCCAAAUGAGAGUAUGUAGUCGCCAGUAUCCAGUGCCUCAUUCGAGUUGGCCCCGAAUAUGAACUUGCAUCGCAUCCCAAAAGGUCAUCCGGUUUCUACUCGAAUACGUACCAAUAUGAAUGUUCAGGAAAAAGACAAUCAACAAAGGUCAUAUAAGUACUAUAGAAACCCAAGGCAUACGAAGGUAACAUGUUCUAUAUCGAGAUACAUUGAAACCUCAACGUCACUAACAUUCUUUUUUUUGUAUAGAAAUUGAUUACAAUGCUUUUUCUUUUUUCUUUUUUACAAAAUAUGUUCAUUCAUUUUUCUUAUACUUAUUUGUAAUUCCCACCACCUACUAAUAUUAAUAUAGUGGGAAAAUUGCUAAUUUAAGCACUACAUCAAGUACCAAUUACAAAUUCUCUGGCGAUUUAACUUUUACCAUUUUUAUUAUUUAGUUUUUGUACCUUAACUAUCAUUAGUUCGAAAAAAG
This 3408-nucleotide long non-coding RNA is filed under the name Gossypium barbadense (sea-island cotton). Its description in RNAcentral is "long non-coding RNA (GBAR_LNC006032)". Lineage: Eukaryota; Viridiplantae; Streptophyta; Magnoliopsida; Malvales; Malvaceae. The record is from RNAcentral.